AGGGUUUGAUCAUGGCUCAGAACGUACGCUGGCGGCACGCCUAACACAUGCAAGUCGAACGAAGUAGCAAUACUUAGUGGCAGACGGGUGAGUAACAUGUAGGUAUCUACCCUUUGGCCUGGAAUAACACGAGGAAACUUGUGCUAAUACCGGAUAAGUCUUUACGGAGAAAGCUUUAUGCACCAUUGGAUGAGCCUGCACUUGAUUAGUUUGUUGGUAGGGUAAUGGCCUACCAAGACUUUGAUCAAUAGCUGAUUUGAGAGGAUGAUCAGCCACAUUGGGACUGAGACACGGCCCAAACUCCUACGGGAGGCAGCAGUGGGGAAUCUUGCACAAUGGAGGAAACUCUGAUGCAGCGAUGCCGCGUGAGUGAAGAAGGCCUUUGGGUUGUAAAGCUCUUUCGUCGGGGAAGAAAAUGACUGUACCCGAAUAAGAAGGUCCGGCUAACUUCGUGCCAGCAGCCGCGGUAAUACGAAGGGACCUAGCGUAGUUCGGAAUUACUGGGCUUAAAGAGUUCGUAGGUGGUUGAAAAAGUUGGUGGUGAAAUCCCAGAGCUUAACUCUGGAACUGCCAUCAAAACUUUUCAGCUAGAGUUUGAUAGAGGAAAGCAGAAUUUCUAGUGUAGAGGUGAAAUUCGUAGAUAUUAGAAAGAAUACCAAUUGCGAAGGCAGCUUUCUGGAUCAUUACUGACACUGAGGAACGAAAGCAUGGGUAGCGAAGAGGAUUAGAUACCCUCGUAGUCCAUGCCGUAAACGAUGUGUGUUAGACGUUGGAAAUUUAUUUUUCAGUGUCGCAGCGAAAGCGAUAAACACACCGCCUGGGGAGUACGACCGCAAGGUUAAAACUCAAAUGAAUUGACGGGGACCCGCACAAGUAGUGGAGCAUGUGGUUUAAUUCGAAGAUACGCGCAGAACCUUACCAACACUUGACAUGUUCGUCGCGACUUUAAGAGAUUAAAGUUUUCGGUUCGGCCGGACGAAACACAGGUGCUGCAUGGCUGUCGUCAGCUCGUGUCGUGAGAUGUUGGGUUAAGUCCCGCAACGAGCGCAACCCUCACUUUUAGUUGCCAUCAUUAAGUUGGGCACUCUGAAAGAACUGCCAGUGAUAAGCUGGAGGAAGGUGGGGAUGACGUCAAGUCCUCAUGGCCCUUACGUGUUGGGCUACACACGUGCUACAAUGGUAUUUACAAAAGGAAGCAAAACGGCGACGUUUAGCAAAUCCUAAAAAAAUACCUCAGUUCGGAUUGCACUCUGCAACUCGAGUGCAUGAAGCUGGAAUUACUAGUAAUCGUGGAUCAGCGUGCCACGGUGAAUGCGUUCCCGGGUCUUGUACACACCGCCCGUCACACCAUGGGAGUUGGUUCUACCUUAAGGCAAGGUUUAAAACCCUUGACCACGGUAUAGUCAGCGACUGGGGUGAAGUCGUAACAAGGUAACCGUA
Molecule: ribosomal RNA, 1440 nt
Filed under: uncultured bacterium
Lineage: Bacteria
Description: bacterial SSU rRNA
Rfam family: Bacterial small subunit ribosomal RNA
Source: RNAcentral